AGUGAACGCUGGCGGCGUGCCUAACACAUGCAAGUCGAACGAUGACGGAGAGCUUGCUCUCUUGAUUAGUGGCGCACGGGUGAGUAUACCAUAGAUAAUGUACCCCUUAGUUCGGGAUAGCCACUGGAAACGGUGAUUAAUACCGGAUACUCCUUCUUGUUAUAAGACAAGUCGGGAAAGUUUUUUCGCUAAGGGAUCAGUCUAUGUCCUAUCAGCUAGUUGGUGAGGUAAUGGCUCACCAAGGCUAUGACAGGUAUCUGGUUUGAGAGGAUGAUCAGACACACUGGAACUGAGACACGGUCCAGACUCCUACGGGAGGCAGCAGUGAGGAAUAUUGCACAAUGGAGGAAACUCUGAUGCAGCAACGCCGCGUGGAGGAUGACGCAUUUCGGUGUGUAAACUCCUUUUAUUAGGGAAGAUAAUGACGGUACCUAAUGAAUAAGCACCGGCUAACUCCGUG
RNAcentral lists this ribosomal RNA (460 nucleotides) under uncultured bacterium. RNAcentral describes it as "bacterial SSU rRNA". It matches the Rfam family "Bacterial small subunit ribosomal RNA", at positions 29 to 507 of the family's 1533-position model. The record is from RNAcentral.